ACGAACGCUGGCGGCGUGCCUAAUACAUGCAAGUAGAACGCUGAAGGAGGAGCUUGCUUCUCUGGAUGAGUUGCGAACGGGUGAGUAACGCGUAGGUAACCUGCCUGGUAGCGGGGGAUAACUAUUGGAAACGAUAGCUAAUACCGCAUAAUAGUAGAUGUUGCAUGACAUUUGCUUAAAAGGUGCAAUUGCAUCACUACCAGAUGGACCUGCGUUGUAUUAGCUAGUUGGUGGGGUAACGGCUCACCAAGGCGACGAUACAUAGCCGACCUGAGAGGGUGAGCGGCCACACUGGGACUGAGACACGGCCCAGACUCCUACGGGAGGCAGCAGUAGGGAAUCUUCGGCAAUGGACGGAAGUCUGACCGAGCAACGCCGCGUGAGGGAAGAAGGUUUUCGGAUCGUAAGGCUCUGUUGUAAGAGAAGAACGAGUGUGAGAGUGGAAAGUUCACACUGUGACGGUAUCUUACCAGAAAGGGACGGCUAACUACGUG
This 494-nucleotide ribosomal RNA is filed under the name uncultured bacterium. RNAcentral's name for it is "partial 16S ribosomal RNA". It matches the Rfam family "Bacterial small subunit ribosomal RNA", at positions 29 to 507 of the family's 1533-position model. The record is from RNAcentral.